GAUGAACGCUAGCGGCAGGCCUAAUACAUGCAAGUCGAACGGGAUCCAGAUCAAAGCUUGCUUUGGUUUGGUGAGAGUGGCGCACGGGUGCGUAACGCGUGAGCAACCUACCCUUGUCAGGGGGAUAGCCCGGCGAAAGUCGGAUUAAUACCGCAUGACAUCAUUGAGAGGCAUCUUUCGAUGAUCAAAGAUUUAUCGGACAAGGAUGGGCUCGCGUGACAUUAGCUAGUUGGUAAGGUAACGGCUUACCAAGGCUACGAUGUCUAGGGGCUCUGAGAGGAGAAUCCCCCACACUGGUACUGAGACACGGACCAGACGCCUACGGGAGGCAGCAGUAAGGAAUAUUGGUCAAUGGACGGAAGUCUGAACCAGCCAUGCCGCGUGCAGGAAGACGGCCCUAUGGGUUGUAAACUGCUUUUAUACGGGAACAAACGUCGGUACGUGUACCGGUCUGAGUGUACCGUAAGAAUAGGGAUCGGCUAACUCCGUG
Molecule: ribosomal RNA, 490 nt
Filed under: uncultured bacterium
Lineage: Bacteria
Description: partial 16S ribosomal RNA
Rfam family: Bacterial small subunit ribosomal RNA
Source: RNAcentral